RNAcentral lists this ribosomal RNA (39 nucleotides) under Sundamomum durum. Its description in RNAcentral is "partial 26S ribosomal RNA". The record is from RNAcentral. Lineage: Eukaryota; Viridiplantae; Streptophyta; Magnoliopsida; Zingiberales; Zingiberaceae.
GCGGCCCCAAGUCAGGCGAGGUCCACCCGCCGAGUUUAA